AUGAACGCUGGCGGCGUGCCUAAUACCUGCAAGUCGAGCGAACAGAUGAGGAGCUUGCUCCUCUGACGUUAGCGGCGGACGGGUGAGUAACACGUGGAUAACCUACCUAUAAGCCUGGGAUAACUUCGGGAAACCGGAGCUAAUACCGGAUAAUAUAUUGAACCGCAUGGUUCAAUAGUGAAAGACGGUUUUGCUGUCACUUAUAGAUGGAUCCGCGCCGCAUUAGCUAGUUGGUAAGGUAACGGCUUACCAAGGCGACGAUGCGUAGCCGACCUGAGAGGGUGAUCGGCCACACUGGAACUGAGACACGGUCCAGACUCCUACGGGAGGCAGCAGUAGGGAAUCUUCCGCAAUGGGCGAAAGCCUGACGGAGCAACGCCGCGUGAGUGAUGAAGGUCUUCGGAUCGUAAAACUCUGUUAUUAGGGAAGAACAAAUGUGUAAGUAACUAUGCACGUCUUGACGGUACCUAAUCAGAAAGCCACGGCUAACUACGUG
Molecule: ribosomal RNA, 496 nt
Filed under: uncultured bacterium
Lineage: Bacteria
Description: partial 16S ribosomal RNA
Rfam family: Bacterial small subunit ribosomal RNA
Source: RNAcentral